RNAcentral lists this ribosomal RNA (468 nucleotides) under uncultured bacterium. Its description in RNAcentral is "partial 16S ribosomal RNA". It matches the Rfam family "Bacterial small subunit ribosomal RNA", at positions 28 to 507 of the family's 1533-position model. The record is from RNAcentral.
GACGAACGCUGGCGGCGUGCUUAACACAUGCAAGUCGAACGGAAAGGCCCGGCUUUUGUGGGGUGCUCGAGUGGCGAACGGGUGAGUAACACGUGAGUAACCUGCCCUUGACUUUGGGAUAACUUCAGGAAACUGGGGCUAAUACCGGAUAGGAGCUCCUGCUGCAUGGUGGGGGUUGGAAAGUUUCGGCGGUUGGGGAUGGACCCGCGGCUUAUCAGCUUGUUGGUGGGGUAGUGGCUUACCAAGGCUUUGACGGGUAGCCGGCCUGAGAGGGUGACCGGCCACAUUGGGACUGAGAUACGGACCAGACUCCUACGGGAGGCAGCAGUGGGGAAUCUUGCACAAUGGGCGGAAGCCUGAUGCAGCAACGCCGCGUGCGGGAUGACGGCCUUCGGGUUGUAAACCGCUGUCGCCUGUGACGAAGCGUGAGUGACGGUAAUGGGUAAAGAAGCACCGGCUAACUACGUG